AGCAUACGGUUGGUCAGUAUUUU
RNAcentral lists this non-coding RNA (23 nucleotides) under Arabidopsis thaliana (thale cress). Lineage: Eukaryota; Viridiplantae; Streptophyta; Magnoliopsida; Brassicales; Brassicaceae. The record is from RNAcentral.